RNAcentral lists this ribosomal RNA (336 nucleotides) under uncultured bacterium. Its description in RNAcentral is "bacterial SSU rRNA". It matches the Rfam family "Bacterial small subunit ribosomal RNA", at positions 8 to 334 of the family's 1533-position model. The record is from RNAcentral.
AGAGUUUGAUUCUGGCUCAGGAUGAACGCUAGCGACAGGCUUAACACAUGCAAGUCGAGGGGCAGCAUGAACUUAGCUUGCUAAGUUUGAUGGCGACCGGCGCACGGGUGAGUAACGCGUAUGCAACUUACCUAUCAGAGGAGAAUAGCUCAUCGAAAGAUGAAUUAAUGCUCCAUAAAACAGGGGUCCCGCAUGGGAAUAUUUGUUAAAGAUUCAUCGCUGAUAGAUAGGCAUGCGUUCCAUUAGGCAGUUGGCGGGGUAACGGCCCACCAAACCGACGAUGGAUAGGGGUUCUGAGAGGAAGGUCCCCCACAUUGGUACUGAGACACGGACCAA